AGUCGAGCGGAUCUUUGGGAGCUUGCUCCCAAAGRUUAGCGGCGGACGGGUGAGUAACACGUGGGCAACCUGCCUAUGAGACUGGGAUAACUCCGGGAAACCGGGGCUAAUACCGGAUAAUUCUUUUCUACACAUGUAGAAAAGCUGAAAGAUGGUUUCGGCUAUCACUCAUAGAUGGGCCCGCGGCGCAUUAGCUAGUUGGUGAGGUAACGGCUCACCAAGGCGACGAUGCGUAGCCGACCUGAGAGGGUGAUCGGCCACACUGGGACUGAGACACGGCCCAGACUCCUACGGGAGGCAGCAGUAGGGAAUCUUCCGCAAUGGACGAAAGUCUGACGGAGCAACGCCGCGUGAGUGAUGAAGGUUUUCGGAUCGUAAAACUCUGUUGUUAGGGAAGAACAAGUACCGGAGUAACUGCCGGUACCUUGACGGUACCUAACCAGAAAGCCACGGCUAACUACGUGCCAGCAGCCGCGGUAAUACGUAGGUGGCAAGCGUUGUCCGGAAUUAUUGGGCGUAAAGCGCGCGCAGGUGGUCUCUUAAGUCUGAUGUGAAAGCCCCCGGCUCAACCGGGGAGGGUCAUUGGAAACUGGGAGACUUGAGUGCAGGAGAGAAGAGUGGAAUUCCACGUGUAGCGGUGAAAUGCGUAGAGAUGUGGAGGAACACCAGUGGCGAAGGCGACUCUUUGG
This 689-nucleotide ribosomal RNA is filed under the name Bacillus sp. 41CM101Y12. RNAcentral's name for it is "bacterial SSU rRNA". It matches the Rfam family "Bacterial small subunit ribosomal RNA", at positions 60 to 732 of the family's 1533-position model. The record is from RNAcentral. Lineage: Bacteria; Bacillati; Bacillota; Bacilli; Caryophanales; Bacillaceae.